GCUAAUCGGACGCAGGCCCCUCCCGAAGCGCCUUGCGGCUUUGGUCGUUUGAACGAACAUACGACCACAUGCGGUAUUAGCCACCCUUUCGGGCAGUUAUUCCCCACUUCGGGGCAGGUCACCCACGCGUUACUCAGCCGUCCGCCACUAGCGACUCGGGCAAGCCCGAGUCACCCGUUCGACUUGCAUGUCUCAUGCACGCCGCCAGCGUUUAUCCUGAGCCAGGAUCAAACUCUAAUCUAGAUGCAUCGCGAGUCAGC
This 260-nucleotide ribosomal RNA is filed under the name uncultured bacterium. RNAcentral's name for it is "partial 16S ribosomal RNA". The record is from RNAcentral.